UACGUAGGGUGCAAGCGUUGUCCGGAAUUAUUGGGCGUAAAGAGCUCGUAGGCGGCUCGUCGCGUCGACCGUGAAAACCCGGGGCUUAACUUCGGGCUUGCGGUUGAUACGGGCGGGCUGGAGUUCGGUAGGGGAGACUGGAAUUCCUGGUGUAGCGGUGAAAUGCGCAGAUAUCAGGAGGAACACCGGUGGCGAAGGCGCUGCUCUGGGCCGGUACUGACGCUGAGGAGCGAAAGCAUGGGGAGCGAACAGG
This 253-nucleotide ribosomal RNA is filed under the name uncultured bacterium. Its description in RNAcentral is "partial 16S ribosomal RNA". It matches the Rfam family "Bacterial small subunit ribosomal RNA", at positions 524 to 776 of the family's 1533-position model. The record is from RNAcentral.